GAUGAAGAACGCAGCGAAAUGCGAUAAUUAAUGUGAAUUGCAGAAUUCCGUGAAUCAUCGAGCCUUUGAACGCACAUUGCGCCUCAUGGCAUUCCGUGAGGCAUGCCCAUCUCAGCGUUAGAAAAUAUUCUCAAAUUUUAGUUUUGUGCUAAAAUUUGGAUCAUGUCAAGGAAGCUAUUACUAUUAUUGUGAUCGCUCUUUGGAAAUUGAUAGGUCUUUGAGUUGCUACUCAUAGAACGUGAUGAAUCUUUCUUCGUUCUAUUGUAAUUCACUCUGGUAGUCCUAAAACUUGUAUGCCUGUGGCAUAUCUUGUAAUUUGACCUGAGAUUGGGUAGGGAUACCCGCUAAACUUAAGCAUAUCAAUAAGCGGAGGA
RNAcentral lists this unclassified non-coding RNA (374 nucleotides) under soil metagenome. RNAcentral's name for it is "partial contains internal transcribed spacer 2 and large subunit ribosomal RNA". The stretch from base 1 to 120 matches the Rfam family "5.8S ribosomal RNA", at positions 35 to 154 of the family's 154-position model. The record is from RNAcentral.